UACAGAGGUCCCGAGCGUUGUUCGGAUUCAUUGGGCGUAAAGGGUGCGUAGGUGGCGCCGUAAGUGGGGUGUGAAAUCCCGGGGCUUAACUCCGAAACUGCAUUCGAUACUGCGGUGCUUGAGGACUGGAGAGGAGACUGGAAUUCAUGGUGUAGCAGUGAAAUGCGUAGAGAUCAUGAGGAAGACCAGUGGCGAAGGCGGGUCUCUGGACAGUUCCUGACACUGAGACACGAAGGCCAGGGGAGCAAACGGG
RNAcentral lists this ribosomal RNA (253 nucleotides) under uncultured bacterium. RNAcentral describes it as "partial 16S ribosomal RNA". It matches the Rfam family "Bacterial small subunit ribosomal RNA", at positions 524 to 776 of the family's 1533-position model. The record is from RNAcentral.